GAUGAACGCUAGCGACAGGCCUAACACAUGCAAGUCGAGGGGCAUCGAGGUGGUAGCAAUACCACUGUCGGCGACCGGCGCACGGGUGAGUAACACGUAUGCAACCUGCCCAUAUCAGGGGGAUAAUCGGAAGAAAUUCCGUCUAAUACCGCGUAUAACGGAAGACCGGCAUCGGUUUUCCGUGAAAGGAGCGAUCCGGAUAUGGAUGGGCAUGCGGGACAUUAGCUAGUUGGGGGGGUAACGGCCCACCAAGGCGACGAUGUCUAGGGGUUCUGAGAGGAAGGUCCCCCACACUGGUACUGAGACACGGACCAGACUCCUACGGGAGGCAGCAGUGAGGAAUAUUGGUCAAUGGGCGCAAGCCUGAACCAGCCAAGUCGCGUGAGGGAAGAAGGUUCUAUGGAUUGUAAACCUCUUUUGUCAGGGAACAAGAAGAUUCACGAGUGGAUCAGUGAGGGUACCUGAAGAAAAAGCAUCGGCUAACUCCGUG
Molecule: ribosomal RNA, 490 nt
Filed under: uncultured organism
Description: bacterial SSU rRNA
Rfam family: Bacterial small subunit ribosomal RNA
Source: RNAcentral